AUGUUUCAGAACUGUAAGUCGCUUUGGAUAAAAGCGUCUGCAAAAUGAGCAUAUU
This is a non-coding RNA of Salmo salar (Atlantic salmon), 55 nucleotides long. The record is from Rfam. Lineage: Eukaryota; Metazoa; Chordata; Actinopteri; Salmoniformes; Salmonidae.